RNAcentral lists this ribosomal RNA (200 nucleotides) under Clostridioides difficile. RNAcentral's name for it is "partial 16S ribosomal RNA". It matches the Rfam family "Bacterial small subunit ribosomal RNA", at positions 1 to 205 of the family's 1533-position model. The record is from RNAcentral. Lineage: Bacteria; Bacillati; Bacillota; Clostridia; Peptostreptococcales; Peptostreptococcaceae.
UUUUAUUUGAGAGUUUGAUCCUGGCUCAGGAUGAACGCUGGCGGCGUGCCUAACACAUGCAAGUUGAGCGAUUUACUUCGGUAAAGAGCGGCGGACGGGUGAGUAACGCGUGGGUAACCUACCCUGUACACACGGAUAACAUACCGAAAGGUAUGCUAAUACGGGAUAAUAUAUUUGAGAGGCAUCUCUUGAAUAUCAAA